This 253-nucleotide ribosomal RNA is filed under the name uncultured Sphingobacteriales bacterium. RNAcentral's name for it is "partial 16S ribosomal RNA". It matches the Rfam family "Bacterial small subunit ribosomal RNA", at positions 524 to 776 of the family's 1533-position model. The record is from RNAcentral. Lineage: Bacteria; Pseudomonadati; Bacteroidota; Sphingobacteriia; Sphingobacteriales.
UACGGAGGAUCCAAGCGUUAUCCGGAUUUAUUGGGUUUAAAGGGUGCGUAGGCGGCUUAUUAAGUCAGUGGUGAAAUCCUGGAGCUUAACUCCAGAACUGCCAUUGAUACUGAUGAGCUUGAGUACAGUUGAGGUAGGCGGAAUGUGUCAUGUAGCGGUGAAAUGCUUAGAUAUGACACAGAACACCGAUUGCGAAGGCAGCUUGCUAAACUGUAACUGACGCUGAGGCACGAAAGCGUGGGUAGCAAACAGG